CCUACGGGUGGCAGCAGUGGGGAAUAUUGGACAAUGGGGGGAACCCUGAUCCAGCCAUGCCGCGUGUGUGAAGAAGGCCCUCGGGUUGUAAAGCACUUUCAGUGAGGAAGAACGCCUGGUGGUUAAUACCCAUCAGGAAAGACAUCACUCACAGAAGAAGCAUCGGCUAACUCCGUGCCAGCAGCCGCGGUAAUACGGAGGGUGCGAGCGUUAAUCGGAAUUACUGGGCGUAAAGCGCGCGUAGGUGGCUUGAUAAGCCGGUUGUGAAAGCCCCGGGCUCAACCUGGGAACGGCAUCCGGAACUGUCAAGCUAGAGUGCAGGAGAGGAAGGUAGAAUUCCCGGUGUAGCGGUGAAAUGCGUAGAGAUCGGGAGGAAUACCAGUGGCGAAGGCGGCCUUCUGGACUGACACUGACACUGAGGUGCGAAAGCGUGGGUAGCAAACAGGAUUAGAUACCCGAGUAGUC
RNAcentral lists this ribosomal RNA (465 nucleotides) under Vreelandella stevensii. RNAcentral's name for it is "partial 16S ribosomal RNA". It matches the Rfam family "Bacterial small subunit ribosomal RNA", at positions 338 to 795 of the family's 1533-position model. Lineage: Bacteria; Pseudomonadati; Pseudomonadota; Gammaproteobacteria; Oceanospirillales; Halomonadaceae. The record is from RNAcentral.